GAGGGUGUAGCUUAAGUGGUAGAGCACAUGCUUAGCAUGCGUGAGGUCUGGGUUCAAUCUCCAGUACCUCUA
RNAcentral lists this transfer RNA (72 nucleotides) under Camelus bactrianus (Bactrian camel). It matches the Rfam family "tRNA". Rfam says of the family: Transfer RNA (tRNA) molecules are approximately 80 nucleotides in length. Their secondary structure includes four short double-helical elements and three loops (D, anti-codon, and T loops). Further hydrogen bonds mediate the characteristic L-shaped molecular structure. tRNAs have two regions of fundamental functional importance: the anti-codon, which is responsible for specific mRNA codon recognition, and the 3' end, to which the tRNAs corresponding amino acid is attached (by aminoacyl-tRNA synthetases). tRNAs cope with the degeneracy of the genetic code in two manners: having more than one tRNA (with a specific anti-codon) for a particular amino acid; and 'wobble' base-pairing, i.e. permitting non-standard base-pairing at the 3rd anti-codon position. The record is from Rfam by way of RNAcentral. Lineage: Eukaryota; Metazoa; Chordata; Mammalia; Artiodactyla; Camelidae. RNAcentral also lists the same sequence under 2 other names.